Molecule: ribosomal RNA, 254 nt
Filed under: uncultured bacterium
Lineage: Bacteria
Description: partial 16S ribosomal RNA
Rfam family: Bacterial small subunit ribosomal RNA
Source: RNAcentral
UACGGAGGGUGCAAGCGUUGUUCGGAUUUACUGGGCGUAAAGGGCGCGUAGGUGGCGACCCAAGUCGAUGGUGAAAGCUCGCCGCUCAACGGCGAGUCGGCCACCGAUACUGGGUUGCUGGAGCACUGUAGAGGCUCAUGGAAUUCCGGGUGUAGCGGUGGAAUGCGUAGAGAUCCGGAAGAACACCGGUGGCGAAGGCGGCGAGCUGGGCAGUUGCUGACACUGAGGCGCGACAGCGUGGGGAGCAAACAGGG